This 397-nucleotide ribosomal RNA is filed under the name uncultured bacterium. Its description in RNAcentral is "partial 16S ribosomal RNA". It matches the Rfam family "Bacterial small subunit ribosomal RNA", at positions 523 to 918 of the family's 1533-position model. The record is from RNAcentral.
AUAAGUAGGGGGCGAGCGUUGUCCGGAAUGAUUGGGCGUAAAGGGCGCGUAGGCGGCGCGGUAAGUCUGGAGUGAAAGUCCUGCUUUCAAGGUGGGAAUUGCUUUGGAUACUGCCGCGCUUGAGUGCAGGAGAGGUUAUCGGAAUUCCCGGUGUAGCGGUGAAAUGCGUAGAGAUCGGGAGGAACACCAGUGGCGAAGUCGGGUAACUGGACUGCAACUGACGCUGAGGCGCGAAAGUGUGGGGAGCAAACAGGAUUAGAUACCCUGGUAGUCCACACUGUAAACGAUGAAUGCUAGGUGUAAGAGGUAUCGACCCCUUUUGUGCCGGAGUCAACACAAUAAGUAUUCCGCCUGGGGAGUACGGCCGCAAGGUUGAAACUCAAAUGAAUUGGCGGGG